GAUGAUCAGGAGCUUGCUCCUGUGAUUAGUGGCGAACGGGUGAGUAACACGUGAGUAACCUGCCCCUGACUCUGGGAUAAGCGUUAGGAAACGACGUCUAAUACUGGAUAUGACUACCGGUCGCAUGGCCUGGUGGUGGAAAGAUUUUUUGGUUGGGGAUGGACUCGCGGCCUAUCAGCUUGUUGGUGAGGUAAUGGCUCACCAAGGCGACGACGGGUAGCCGGCCUGAGAGGGUGACCGGCCACACUGGGACUGAGACACGGCCCAGACUCCUACGGGAGGCAGCAGUGGGGAAUAUUGCACAAUGGGCGAAAGCCUGAUGCAGCAACGCCGCGUGAGGGAUGACGGCCUUCGGGUUGUAAACCUCUUUUAGUAGGGAAGAAGCGAAAGUGACGGUACCUGCAGAAAAAGCACCGGCUAACUACGUGCCAGCAGCCGCGGUAAUACGUAGGGUGCAAGCGUUGUCCGGAAUUAUUGGGCGUAAAGAGCUCGUAGGCGGUUUGUCGCGUCUGCUGUGAAAUUCCGAGGCUCAACCUCGGGCUUGCAGUGGGUACGGGCAGACUAGAGUGCGGUAGGGGAGAUUGGAAUUCCUGGUGUAGCGGUGGAAUGCGCAGAUAUCAGGAGGAACACCGAUGGCGAAGGCAGAUCUCUGGGCCGUAACUGACGCUGAGGAGCGAAAGCAUGGGGAGCGAACAGGAUUAGAUACCCUGGUAGUCCAUGCCGUAAACGUUGGGCGCUAGAUGUAGGGACCUUUCCACGGUUUCUGUGUCGUAGCUAACGCAUUAAGCGCCCCGCCUGGGGAGUACGGCCGCAAGGCUAAAACUCAAAGGAAUUGACGGGGGCCCGCACAAGCGGCGGAGCAUGCGGAUUAAUUCGAUGCAACGCGAAGAACCUUACCAAGGCUUGACAUACACCGGAAACGGCCAGAGAUGGUCGCCCCCC
This 942-nucleotide ribosomal RNA is filed under the name Curtobacterium sp. NDP_AP. Its description in RNAcentral is "bacterial SSU rRNA". It matches the Rfam family "Bacterial small subunit ribosomal RNA", at positions 68 to 1018 of the family's 1533-position model. Lineage: Bacteria; Bacillati; Actinomycetota; Actinomycetes; Micrococcales; Microbacteriaceae. The record is from RNAcentral.